This 253-nucleotide ribosomal RNA is filed under the name uncultured bacterium. RNAcentral's name for it is "partial 16S ribosomal RNA". It matches the Rfam family "Bacterial small subunit ribosomal RNA", at positions 524 to 776 of the family's 1533-position model. The record is from RNAcentral.
GACGAACCGUACGAACGUUAUUCGGAAUUACUGGGCUUAAAGGGUGCGUAGGCGGCGCAGUAAGUUGGGUGUGAAAUCCCUCGGCUUAACCGAGGAAUUGCGCCCAAAACUACUGUGCUCGAGGGAGAUAGAGGUGAGCGGAACUUAGGGUGGAGCGGUGAAAUGCGUUGAUAUCCUAAGGAACACCGGUGGCGAAAGCGGCUCACUGGAUCUCUUCUGACGCUGAGGCGCGAAAGCAUGGGGAGCGAACGGG